GAAAAAAAAAAUCAAGUUAAAAAGACUUAUCAUGUAAUUUCGCACCCAAACAUGGUCUAGAAAAGAAACUAUUGAGAUAGGCCUACCCUUAACUGUUUUUUCAGAGUGGCUGCCCUUAUGCAUAAAUCCUGCAACAUCUUGGUUGCAAGCCCAAUAGUUUACAAUAUUGCACUGACAUAAAUGGCCAGGUAAAAUCCUUUUAUCUGUUUUUCCACACAUUUUAGACCGUAACCGUCAGUGACAGAACGAUUAGGCUGAAGCAAAACAGCUUUUAAACACAUACAUUCAGAUUCAGAUAACAAGUUAGUAUGCAAAUUUGUAUUAAUGAAAAUUUAGAACAUAAAACUGAAACCACCCACUUGAUGUGUUGAACUUGGUUCCUGAUUAAUGCAUUAAGCAUAGCAUACAUGACCAAGGAUUCCCUAUGCAUCAUAAAAAUUGCUUUU
Molecule: unclassified non-coding RNA, 446 nt
Filed under: Hevea brasiliensis (rubber tree)
Lineage: Eukaryota; Viridiplantae; Streptophyta; Magnoliopsida; Malpighiales; Euphorbiaceae
Source: RNAcentral